GUGGGGUAACGGCCUACCAAGGCAUCGACGGGUAGCUGGUCUGAGAGGACGAUCAGCCACACUGGGACUGAGACACGGCCCAGACUCCUACGGGAGGCAGCAGUAGGGAAUCUUGCACAAUGGGCGAAAGCCUGAUGCAGCAACGCCGCGUGGGGGAUGAAGGCUUUCGGGUCGUAAACCCCUUUCAGGAGGGACGAAUUUGACGGUACCUGCAGAAGAAGAUGCGGCCAACUACGUGCCAGCAGCCGCGGUAACACGUAGGGAGCAAGCGUUGUCCGGAUUUAUUGGGCGUAAAGAGCUCGUAGGUGGCUCGGUAAGUCGGGUGUGAAAACUCAGGGCUCAACCCUGAGACGCCACCCGAUACUGCUGUGGCUAGGGUCCGGUAGGGGAGCAUGGAAUUCCUGGUGUAGCGGUGAAAUGCGCAGAUAUCAGGAGGAACACCAGCGGCGAAGGCGGUGCUCUGGGCCGGUACUGACACUGAGGAGCGAAAGCAUGGGGAGCAAACAGGAUUAGAUACCCUGGUAGUCCAUGCCGUAAACGUUGGGCACUAGGUGUGGGACCCUGUCAACGGGUUCCGCGCCGUAGCUAACGCAUUAAGUG
RNAcentral lists this ribosomal RNA (600 nucleotides) under uncultured Actinomycetes bacterium. RNAcentral describes it as "bacterial SSU rRNA". It matches the Rfam family "Bacterial small subunit ribosomal RNA", at positions 252 to 866 of the family's 1533-position model. Lineage: Bacteria; Bacillati; Actinomycetota; Actinomycetes. The record is from RNAcentral.